GUGGGGAAUAUUGGACAAUGGGCGAAAGCCUGAUCUAGCCAUGCCGCGUGUGUGAAGAAGGCCUUUUGGUUGUAAAGCACUUUAAGCGAGGAGGAGGCUACCGAGAUUAAUACUCUUGGAUAGUGGACGUUACUCGCAGAAUAAGCACCGGCUAACUCUGUGCCAGCAGCCGCGGUAAUACAGAGGGUGCAAGCGUUAAUCGGAUUUACUGGGCGUAAAGCGCGCGUAGGUGGCCAAUUAAGUCAAAUGUGAAAUCCCCGAGCUUAACUUGGGAAUUGCAUUCGAUACUGGUUGGCUAGAGUAUGGGAGAGGAUGGUAGAAUUCCAGGUGUAGCGGUGAAAUGCGUAGAGAUCUGGAGGAAUACCGAUGGCGAAGGCAGCCAUCUGGCCUAAUACUGACACUGAGGUGCGAAAGCAUGGGGAGCAAACAGGAUUAGAAACCCGUGUAGUCC
This 451-nucleotide ribosomal RNA is filed under the name uncultured bacterium. RNAcentral describes it as "bacterial SSU rRNA". It matches the Rfam family "Bacterial small subunit ribosomal RNA", at positions 354 to 796 of the family's 1533-position model. The record is from RNAcentral.